GAUUAAGUUAUUAAGGGCGCACGGUGGAUGCCUUGGCACUAGAAGCCGAUGAAGGACGUUACUAACGACGAUAUGCUUUGGGGAGCUGUAAGUAAGCUUUGAUCCAGAGAUUUCCGAAUGGGGAAACCCAGCAUGAGUUAUGUCAUGUUAUCGAUAUGUGAAUACAUAGCAUAUCAGAAGGCACACCCGGAGAACUGAAACAUCUUAGUACCCGGAGGAAGAGAAAGAAAAUUCGAUUCCCUUAGUAGCGGCGAGCGAAAUGGGAAGAGCCCAAACCAACAAGCUUGCUUGUUGGGGUUGUAGGACACUCUAUACGGAGUUACAAAGGACGACAUUAGACGAAUCAUCUGGAAAGAUGAAUCAAAGAAGGUAAUAAUCCUGUAGUCGAAAAUGUUGUCUCUCUUGAGUGGAUCCUGAGUACGACGGAGCACGUGAAAUUCCGUCGGAAUCUGGGAGGACCAUCUCCUAAGGCUAAAUACUCUCUAGUGACCGAUAGUGAACCAGUACCGUGAGGGAAAGGUGAAAAGCACCCCGGAAGGGGAGUGAAAUAGAACCUGAAACCGUGUGCUUACAAGUAGUCAGAGCCCGUUAAUGGGUGAUGGCGUGCCUUUUGUAGAAUGAACCGGCGAGUUACGAUUUGAUGCAAGGUUAAGCAGUAAAUGUGGAGCCGUAGCGAAAGCGAGUCUGAAUAGGGCGUUUAGUAUUUGGUCGUAGACCCGAAACCAGGUGAUCUACCCUUGGUCAGGUUGAAGUUCAGGUAACACUGAAUGGAGGACCGAACCGACUUACGUUGAAAAGUGAGCGGAUGAACUGAGGGUAGCGGAGAAAUUCCAAUCGAACCUGGAGAUAGCUGGUUCUCUCCGAAAUAGCUUUAGGGCUAGCCUCAAGUGAUGAUUAUUGGAGGUAGAGCACUGUUUGGACGAGGGGCCCCUCUCGGGUUACCGAAUUCAGACAAACUCCGAAUGCCAAUUAAUUUAACUUGGGAGUCAGAACAUGGGUGAUAAGGUCCGUGUUCGAAAGGGAAACAGCCCAGACCACCAGCUAAGGUCCCAAAAUAUAUGUUAAGUGGAAAAGGAUGUGGCGUUGCCCAGACAACUAGGAUGUUGGCUUAGAAGCAGCCAUCAUUUAAAGAGUGCGUAAUAGCUCACUAGUCGAGUGACACUGCGCCGAAAAUGUACCGGGGCUAAACAUAUUACCGAAGCUGUGGAUUGUCCUUUGGACAAUGGUAGGAGAGCGUUCUAAGGGCGUUGAAGCAUGAUCGUAAGGACAUGUGGAGCGCUUAGAAGUGAGAAUGCCGGUGUGAGUAGCGAAAGACGGGUGAGAAUCCCGUCCACCGAUUGACUAAGGUUUCCAGAGGAAGGCUCGUCCGCUCUGGGUUAGUCGGGUCCUAAGCUGAGGCCGACAGGCGUAGGCGAUGGAUAACAGGUUGAUAUUCCUGUACCACCUAUAAUCGUUUUAAUCGAUGGGGGGACGCAGUAG
RNAcentral lists this ribosomal RNA (1479 nucleotides) under Staphylococcus aureus. Its description in RNAcentral is "partial 23S ribosomal RNA". It matches the Rfam family "Bacterial large subunit ribosomal RNA", at positions 1 to 1480 of the family's 2925-position model. Lineage: Bacteria; Bacillati; Bacillota; Bacilli; Caryophanales; Staphylococcaceae. The record is from RNAcentral.